CACUUCCAAAAUUCGUUCAGCUCCUUCUGCCUCCGUCCCCCUCCCCAAAUGGCAGUGUCACACUCUUUUGGGCUACAGCUUGGGGAUUCUGGGGUUUGUUGUUUCGAAAAAAAGGAAACGUUCCUGCACUCUUGUUAAAGGUCAAUGAAAUGGGCUAGAAAGAACCUUAGAAGGCGGGAAGGAGUUCCCAGAGGGGGGGUGGAAAGUCUGCGGGCAAAAAAGCAACACAAAAAUUGUGACGCUGGUGACUUCGCAAAGAUCUGUCCUCUGAAGAUGCUGGCCACAGAGACUGGCGAAACGUUAGGAAGAACAACCUUCAGAACACAGCCAAAGAGCCCGAAAAACCCACACCAACCAUCAUCAUAACUACUCCCGAGUAGGAUCACUGCCAGAGGUAAAAAAGCACAGGUUUCAGAAAGCACCUUCCCAUUUGAGAAGCCCCAGGACAAACGCUGGUUUCUCUGAAAGUGGAGGGUCAUCCCUCGUGGCAGACGCCGGCUUUUGACAUCACACUGGGAAGUUCAGUCCCUGUGCCUCUUUCCACCACCUUGUCUGGAGACAGCCAGGUGAGUCUCCUUGCAACUGCCGGAGAGGAGAUGCAACCAGGAAGUGCCUGCCGCCCCACCUGGGCAAGAGAGCAAACAAGCCGCCAGCCAGCCAGUCAGCCGCCCACGCUUCACCUCUCCAGCCUCCACGCCUGUUCUGGGGAGCUUCCUCACUAAAAACUGUGGCCUCCACAGCGGGGGACCCCUGGCCUUGCCCGGCAGACGAGACACUCAGACGGAGGAUGGCUCCUCCACCACCCCGAAGAGCGGAGCCUGUAGCCUCAGAAGCCCCGGAGAACCCGUCGGCCCUCCUCUUGGGGAGUUUGGCGUCCGUGGCCCCUGUCAUCCUGACGAUCCUUCUGCUGCUUCUCUGCUUCCACUUUAAAAGCAAAAAGCGGCAGUUCUCAACCGGAGAUCCCACGAGGGACCGAAACACCUCCGUGCUGCUUCGCAUGAUUGGAGGACAAAACGAGCCGAAUGCAGGAGCAACGCAUCUGGAGAAUGGAGGACUCUGCCAAGGCAGUUCUCCGGUCAGUUGCCGGCCAGAGAGGCCAACGAACGGAACGGUGGCUGCGGAGUUUCACCAAAGAAGUGCAAACUCUCAGACGGAAACGCCCACGAUGAGCCGAGCCUCCCCCAAGCGGUUCGCGCAGCGCAGGAAGAUGGAGGUAGACCACCUGCGAGGCACGGCUCCUCAACGGUUGUGUCCUAGAGCUGCAUCGCCAAGUGCCCUGCAGUUCAGGAAGCUGCCUAUGACCCCCAAAGAGGCUCACGUGCCCCGAAUAGAGCCGCUGAAUCAGGACGCGGACAAUGAGGUUUAUGAAAGCAUCUGCGAUGAAGCAAGAGAUCCAGGUGCUGGGGUUUGCAUGGAAAGUAGGAAGGGCGCUGAUUCAACAACCAGGGGACGGCCAAAUUCUGCUGGAGAGGGGGCCCCCUCUGCAGAAUCCACAGAAUCGGCUGGAAUGACGGUAGCAUGUGGUAGCACAACAGGGCAGCCGGCGGCCCACUGGCAACACAUUGAGUUCCCUAGCGAAUUGCCGGGUGUGGCAAGUGAGCAAGGGGCUCCACAUCCAGUAGCUCCGGAUACCGAGAAGCGGCUGAGCGCCAUGUAUGCCCGAGUGCGCAAGAGGCCCAAGGCGUUUCCGCAGCAAGAGCCUGGAAAGCCCGCAGAGCAAGAAGUGGAAGAGGAACCGCCACCUAUUCCAGAGAAACAUUUUGAGGAUAUCUAUGAGAGUCUGAGCGUUGAUGCCGUGGGGCAGGAUGGCAUGAGGACAGAACUGACAGUCCCUUCAGAGGCUUGAACACUUCAGGGAGCUGAGAGGCAAGUCUCCAGACCAGGCCAGGAUCCUGCAGUGGCUUCUUCUGGGCUUCUCUCUCAUGGGGACAGGGAAACUGAGGCACAGAACCUCAGCCGUCACAAGGAAACGGCUCAGGAACUGGGUUCCCUUUCGCUCCUGAGGGCUACCUUUGGGAGGUGGGUGAUGUGGCCAGCGGGGGUCCUGUUGCCCUGAUCGUGCUGUGAUGUGGACUUCUCUGAGUCACCAGCGGUUCGCCCCAAGAAUCACACAGGAGUGUGUUGUGGUGUUUAAGGGAACAGGCUGCACCUCCUUCUUACUUCCGAAUAAGGGGACGAAGAGACAAAGGACCAGCUUUGCACUUGAAAAGCGCUAAAACGUUUUCCCUUCUGAGAUGCAUUCUCCAAAGCUGCUGUGGGAUAGCAGUCUGAAUUGGAAAUGAAGCCCUUGCUUAUCUCCUGAGGACCAGUCACAAAAGAUGAGCAAGCAAAUCCACCAGGAUUCCCAGUGUGGUGUGGUGUACUGAAUAGUGACGGACCAGGACUCUGGGGAACCGGGUUUGAAUCCCUGCUCAGCCAGUAGAACUCACUGGAACAGUGGAACUGGUCGGACUAACCACUGACCUUGAAAGCCCUAUUAGGGUCUCUUUAGGUCCGUUCUCCAGAUCAUCAACAGCCUUCUCGUCUUGCUUCUCAUCUGUAAAAUGGACAUAAUAAAAGGGUGCCACCUUGAAUUGCCCUGGAGACA
Long non-coding RNA from Pogona vitticeps (central bearded dragon), 2587 nucleotides. Ensembl lists it as uncharacterized. The record is from Ensembl. Lineage: Eukaryota; Metazoa; Chordata; Lepidosauria; Squamata; Agamidae.